Molecule: ribosomal RNA, 1346 nt
Filed under: uncultured bacterium
Lineage: Bacteria
Description: bacterial SSU rRNA
Rfam family: Bacterial small subunit ribosomal RNA
Source: RNAcentral
GACGAACGCUGGCGGCGUGCUUAACACAUGCAAGUCGAACGGAAAGGCCCUGCUUUUGUGGGGUGCUCGAGUGGCGAACGGGUGAGUAACACGUGAGUAACCUGCCCUUGACUUUGGGAUAACUUCAGGAAACUGGGGCUAAUACCGGAUAGGAGCUCCUGCUGCAUGGUGGGGGUUGGAAAGUUUCGGCGGUUGGGGAUGGACUCGCGGCUUAUCAGCUUGUUGGUGGGGUAGUGGCUUACCAAGGCUUUGACGGGUAGCCGGCCUGAGAGGGUGACCGGCCACAUUGGGACUGAGAUACGGCCCAGACUCCUACGGGAGGCAGCAGUGGGGAAUAUUGCACAAUGGGCGGAAGCCUGAUGCAGCAACGCCGCGUGCGGGAUGACGGCCUUCGGGUUGUAAACCGCUUUCGCCUGUGACGAAGCGUGAGUGACGGUAAUGGGUAAAGAAGCACCGGCUAACUACGUGCCAGCAGCCGCGGUGAUACGUAGGGUGCGAGCGUUGUCCGGAUUUAUUGGGCGUAAAGGGCUCGUAGGUGGUUGAUCGCGUCGGAAGUGUAAUCUUGGGGCUUAACCCUGAGCGUGCUUUCGAUACGGGUUGACUUGAGGAAGGUAGGGGAGAAUGGAAUUCCUGGUGGAGCGGUGGAAUGCGCAGAUAUCAGGAGGAACACCAGUGGCGAAGGCGGUUCUCUGGGCCUUUCCUGACGCUGAGGAGCGAAAGCGUGGGGAGCGAACAGGCUUAGAUACCCUGGUAGUCCACGCUGUAAACGGUGGGUACUAGGUGUGGGGUCCAUUCCACGGGUUCCGUGCCGUAGCUAACGCUUUAAGUACCCCGCCUGGGGAGUACGGCCGCAAGGCUAAAACUCAAAGGAAUUGACGGGGCCCCGCACAAGCGGCGGAGCAUGCGGAUUAAUUCGAUGCAACGCGUAGAACCUUACCUGGGUUUGACAUGGAUCGGGAGCGCUCAGAGAUGGGUGUGCCUCUUUUGGGGUCGGUUCACAGGUGGUGCAUGGCUGUCGUCAGCUCGUGUCGUGAGAUGUUGGGUUAAGUCCCGCAACGAGCGCAACCCUUGUUCACUGUUGCCAGCACGUUAUGGUGGGGACUCAGUGGAGACCGCCGGGGUCAACUCGGAGGAAGGUGGGGAUGACGUCAAGUCAUCAUGCCCCUUAUGUCCAGGGCUUCACGCAUGCUACAAUGGCUGGUACAGAGAGUGGCGAGCCUGUGAGGGUGAGCGAAUCUCGGAAAGCCGGUCUUAGUUCGGAUUGGGGUCUGCAACUCGACCUCAUGAAGUCGGAGUCGCUAGUAAUCGCAGAUCAGCAACGCUGCGGUGAAUACGUUCCCGGGGCU